CCUACGGGGGGCUGCAGUGGGGAAUAUUGGACAAUGGGCGGAAGCCUGAUCCAGCAAUACCGCGUGUGUGAAGAAGGCCUGAGGGUUGUAAAGCACUUUCAAUAGGAAGGAAUACCUAUCCAUUAAUACUGGGUAGACUGACAUUACCUAUACAAGAAGCACCGGCUAACUCCGUGCCAGCAGCCGCGGUAAUACGGAGGGUGCAAGCGUGAACCGGAAUUACUGGGCGUAAAGCGGGUAUAGCAGACGUGAAAGCCCCGGGCUUAACCUGGGAAUGGCAGUUGAUACUGGCGAGCUAGAGUUGAGUAGAGGGGAGUGGAAUUUCAGGUGUAGCGGUGAAAUGCGUAGAGAUCUGAAGGAACACCAGUGGCGAAGGUGACUCCCUGGACUCAAACUGACGCUGAGGUACGAAAGCGUGGGUAGCAAACAGGAUUAGAUACCCUAGUAGUC
RNAcentral lists this ribosomal RNA (450 nucleotides) under uncultured bacterium. Its description in RNAcentral is "partial 16S ribosomal RNA". It matches the Rfam family "Bacterial small subunit ribosomal RNA", at positions 338 to 795 of the family's 1533-position model. The record is from RNAcentral.